GGGCCCGCACAAGUGGUGGAGCAUGUGGUUUAAUUCGAUGAUACGCGAGGAACCUUACCAGGGCUUAAAUGUAGUAUGACCGGCUUGGAAACAGGCCUUCUCUUCGGAGCAGAUUACAAGGUGCUGCAUGGUUGUCGUCAGCUCGUGCCGUGAGGUGUUAGGUUAAGUCCUGCAACGAGCGCAACCCCUAUUCUUAGUUGCCAGCGGUUCGGCCGGGGACUCUAAGAAGACUGCCAGCGCAAGCUGAGAGGAAGGUGGGGAUGACGUCAAAUCAUCACGGCCCUUACGUCCUGGGCUACACACGUGCUACAAUGGUAGAGACAAAAAGUAACAAAAAAGUUUUAGUUA
This 348-nucleotide ribosomal RNA is filed under the name uncultured bacterium. Its description in RNAcentral is "bacterial SSU rRNA". It matches the Rfam family "Bacterial small subunit ribosomal RNA", at positions 917 to 1270 of the family's 1533-position model. The record is from RNAcentral.